CAUCGAAAUUCUCUCCCUCAACCUCUAUCGAUCAUUUCCUUCAUUCGAUCCCAAUCCCCCAUACCCCAAACGGAAGGUCGUCUCCUCCCAUCGAUUUCUGCCAAUUUACCACUAAUGAACUGCGGCUGAGUGACCGACGAACCACCACUGCACCAUCAGAUAAUCUAUCAUAACUGCUCGGUUCCUUGUUGCUCGACUCCACAUCGCUUCAAUCAUAACUUCAUCCCUGAGCAAAAUGUGAAACAUCAUUUUCUGGAACAGGCAUUGGUACAUUGCUAGACAAGUGAAAAUCCAAAGCCACGUGGUUGCAUUUUUUAAAGGAGAUGAUUGUUGUGUUUUAGUUAUAAUGUAAAUGCCACAACUCCCAGACGUAUGAUGAACCCAAAUAGUUAAUAUUAAAGAGACCCGAUCAUAUGUUAGUUGACUCAUAUAGAUUAUUUAUUGAGUGCGACCGUGUUCAAGUUCCUGUUGUUGGUGACUCAGGUUUUGCAAAUGGAAUCUUCAAUUGUGAAUUUCUUGAAGUUUGAAUUGACAACACCACCUGUUAGAUGUUUCUUGAGAAGAUCUGUGUGUGUUGCUCAUGUGGUAAGUUGCUAGAAAUGCGCAAUGAGAUUGAAGAGGAUCAUGAAACUAAAACAAGCCAAGCUCGAAGCUAUGCAAAAUAUAUAUAUUGAGAGCCAACAACAAAACCUGGAAGCUAUGAUGCAUUAUGUAUUUAUGUUAUACAAAGUGCUAGUUAGAGAUCGAGAAGCGUAGAAUGUUCAAUUUCUCUUUAAUCUACAUCUUGUGUUGACUAUAUUGUUACUUGAGUUUGAAUAACCAUCUAAAGUACACCAUUUUACUAUUAAUGAUAUGUGUUUUAC
This 863-nucleotide long non-coding RNA is filed under the name Helianthus annuus (common sunflower). RNAcentral describes it as "hypothetical non coding rna". The record is from RNAcentral. Lineage: Eukaryota; Viridiplantae; Streptophyta; Magnoliopsida; Asterales; Asteraceae.